GCAUAUAUCAUAGCGCUAGAAAAUAUAAGUCAAUAAGCUGUUUAAACAAGACACACUCACAAAAGUCUUAUGCACAACUUUGAUGCAUGUAGAUGCCCUAAAGGAGGGUGUGGCUAUGUAAUUCAUUUAUGAAACACUGCAAACUUAGACAGGAAGUUUUUUUUUAAUUUAAUCUAAUUUAAAAUCGCACAGCAUACAUUAUGAUUUAGACUUGAGAGUAUCACCUUAACGUUAAAAUACCAAAAAUAUACUCUUACAUCAUACGGCUCCCUCUAAAAAAAUCUCCAAGGCUAACGCUAGCUGCUAGCAGAAAAGCUCCAGUUUGCAUGCUAGCAAGCUAAUAAUAAUACACUCAGUGUCGGCGUGGUGAGCAGCCGGUUAUCGUUUAUUGUUGUCGGACUGUUACGAGCUCGGGGUCGCUGUCAGGUUUGCUGCGAGACUCAAUUACAGCCCGUGCUAAGCUAAUAUUGCUAGCUCGCUAGCUGUGAUGCUAUGGAGGGAAAUGUCUGCAUGCACACAAGCCAGUUUUCUUUGCAACCGGGACGCCCCACUUUCACUAAGCAGUAAGUUGCGGGAAUUCGUGAUUACAACAGUGUGGAAGCAAUUACCCGUACGUGGCGUCUGCUUCUGUAACUUAUUCCCAGUUCAUAAAAGCGAAAUCAAGCCCACUCCCAUAUUAAUAUAUCUCAGUUGUGGUACAAGCCAGCGAGCCUUGCAGAGACUGACUCAUUUUGUGAGCCUCUGCAACGCCGCCGCCAUGAUCUCUUUGUUGGCUUUGUGCGGAUAAUAGGCGUAAAUAACUUCUCUGGGCAGCCAUCUAUCUGUUUAGCAAACAUCGGAUGCGUAUCCUCUUACCAACACAGACUCGCUUCGUCACUCCCGGCUCUGCGGAGCUCCACUUUUAUUCAGACCGACACGUAAGAGACCGCGUCAGGCUACACCUCCGUCGCGUCACCGAGAACAACAACACGGAGAGGAGGACGAGGGAGACGACGACAGCGAAAAAUCAUCUCUAUCGACAGGGCGCGAGCGAACACGGAAGUGGUCGGAAAGUCACGAAGCUCGCCGAGGGGACGAGGAAGAGCGACGGACAUAGCCGAAGGGGUGAGGGCGAGGGGACGGGCCAAACACGACCCCGCGGCCCGGCCAACGGGCGAACUGGACCGGGCGCCUCCCAAACGCAGCCCGAGGAUCCGAGGAGCGGGACGCGUCCAGGCGGCCGAGGUCUCAUCUGA
This 1235-nucleotide long non-coding RNA is filed under the name Betta splendens (Siamese fighting fish). RNAcentral describes it as "lncRNA (ENSBSLG00000022201.1)". The record is from RNAcentral. Lineage: Eukaryota; Metazoa; Chordata; Actinopteri; Anabantiformes; Osphronemidae.